UACAGAGGUCUCAAGCGUUGUUCGGAUUCAUUGGGCGUAAAGGGCGCGUAGGCUGCGGGGCAAGUCGGGUGUGAAAUCUCAGAGCUCAACUCUGAAACUGCACUCGAUACUGCUUUGCUUGAGGACUGGAGAGGAGAUUGGAAUUCACGGUGUAGCAGUGAAAUGCGUAGAUAUCGGGAGGAACACCAGUGGCGAAGGCGGGCAUCUGGGCCAACACUGACGCUGAGGAGCGAAAGCCAGGGGAGCAAACGGG
This 253-nucleotide ribosomal RNA is filed under the name uncultured bacterium. RNAcentral's name for it is "partial 16S ribosomal RNA". It matches the Rfam family "Bacterial small subunit ribosomal RNA", at positions 524 to 776 of the family's 1533-position model. The record is from RNAcentral.